RNAcentral lists this ribosomal RNA (253 nucleotides) under uncultured bacterium. Its description in RNAcentral is "partial 16S ribosomal RNA". It matches the Rfam family "Bacterial small subunit ribosomal RNA", at positions 524 to 776 of the family's 1533-position model. The record is from RNAcentral.
UACGGGGGGGGCAAGCGUUGUUCGGAAUUACUGGGCGUAAAGGGCUCGUAGGCGGCCAACUAAGUCAGACGUGAAAUCCCUCGGCUUAACCGGGGAACUGCAUCUGAUACUGGAUGGCUUGAGUUCGGGAGAGGGAUGCGGAAUUCCAGGUGUAGCGGUGAAAUGCGUAGAUAUCAAGCGGAACACCGGUGGCGAAGGCGAGUCCCUGGACAACACCUGACACUGAGGCACGAAAGCUAGGGGAGCAAACAGG